Molecule: non-coding RNA, 125 nt
Filed under: Lwoffella lincolnii
Lineage: Bacteria; Pseudomonadati; Pseudomonadota; Gammaproteobacteria; Moraxellales; Moraxellaceae
Description: Moraxella lincolnii TPP sequence
Rfam family: TPP riboswitch aptamer (THI element)
About the family: Vitamin B(1) in its active form thiamin pyrophosphate (TPP) is an essential coenzyme that is synthesised by coupling of pyrimidine and thiazole moieties in bacteria. The previously detected thiamin-regulatory element, thi box was extended, resulting in a new, highly conserved RNA secondary structure, the THI element, which is widely distributed in eubacteria and also occurs in some archaea.
Source: Rfam by way of RNAcentral
AGAGCAGACUCGGGGUGCUAAAGGAGUGAGACAAUGGUUAAAUGUUCACUCGUUAAUUUGGCUGAGACAUACCCGCAGAACUUGAUACGGUUAGUACCGUCGUAGGGAAGUCGUUGACAUUUAUU